RNAcentral lists this unclassified non-coding RNA (620 nucleotides) under Hevea brasiliensis (rubber tree). The record is from RNAcentral. Lineage: Eukaryota; Viridiplantae; Streptophyta; Magnoliopsida; Malpighiales; Euphorbiaceae.
AAAGUAGCAAACUGUAUUGUCAGCAUCCAAUGACAUCUGAUUAAAAUUUCUCACUGCUAUCACUGUAUUAAUCUUUUAUCAAUUAAAAUUUUCAAUUAGAAGAAUGGUCAAAGUCCUCAGCCAGUGAAAAUAAUCCUGUAGGCCACUCCAUACAAUUGCUGAAAGGUGUCACUAAAUAUUUCCUCAAGAAAAAAAAGGAUUUUGAAUCCCCAAUAUUCUGUUCUUGACUCUCAACCUUGACACUUCAAAAAAGUCUAAAACCAGGAAACCUAUUUAUUUCCAGCAACCAUAAUCUUAAGUAUGGAAUACAUCCUUAGAGAAAUCAAACAAGGCAGACAGCCAAAAAUUGAGAUCUAAGCACUGGUGGGUGCAUGUGUGCAUAUUCAAUUCUCUGAAUCCUAAAACUAAGGGAUGAGGUUUGACAGUGGCAGCAAUUCCCUUCUAAUGCACACAGCUAAAGACCACACACAGAGAAAAUGUAUAAAGUUGAAGACUUUUUUUAAGACAGCUGUAAUUUAGUGCAGUUUGACCAGUAAAACCAAUCCAUUCAUGAAUCAAUAAAAUAUUAAGAUCAUAUUCAAUUCUCUAAUUGUCAAAUAGCCUCCCCAAACAUGAAAUAC